Molecule: ribosomal RNA, 340 nt
Filed under: uncultured Eubacteriales bacterium
Lineage: Bacteria; Bacillati; Bacillota; Clostridia; Eubacteriales
Description: bacterial SSU rRNA
Rfam family: Bacterial small subunit ribosomal RNA
Source: RNAcentral
CGAUGGUUGUCGUCAGCUCGUGUCGUGAGAUGUUGGUUAAGUCCCGCAACGAGCGCAACCCUUGUCUUUAGUUGCCAUCAUUCAGUUUGGGCGACUCUAGAGAGACUGCCGAGGGAUAAACUCGGAGGAAGGUGGGGAUGACGUCAAAUCAUCAUGCCCCUUAUGUCCUGGGCUACACACGUGCUACAAUGGCUGGUACAAAGAGACGCAAGACCGCGAGGUGGAGCAAAUCUCAAAAACCAGUCCCAGUUCGGAUUGCAGGCUGCAACUCGCCUGCAUGAAGUUGGAGUUGCUAGUAAUCGCAGAUCAGAAUGCUGCGGUGAAUGCGUUCCCGGGUCUU